RNAcentral lists this ribosomal RNA (440 nucleotides) under Massilia sp. R-45830. RNAcentral describes it as "bacterial SSU rRNA". It matches the Rfam family "Bacterial small subunit ribosomal RNA", at positions 21 to 463 of the family's 1533-position model. The record is from RNAcentral. Lineage: Bacteria; Pseudomonadati; Pseudomonadota; Betaproteobacteria; Burkholderiales; Oxalobacteraceae.
GGCUCAGAUUGAACGCUGGCGGCAUGCUUUACACAUGCAAGUCGAACGGUAACAGGGAGCUUGCUCCGCUGACGAGUGGCGAACGGGUGAGUAAUAUAUCGGAACGUGCCCAAGAGUGGGGGAUAACGUAGCGAAAGUUACGCUAAUACCGCAUACGAUCYAAGGAUGAAAGCAGGGGACCGCAAGGCCUUGUGCUCCUGGAGCGGCCGAUAUCUGAUUAGCUAGUUGGUGAGGUAAAGGCUCACCAAGGCGACGAUCAGUAGCUGGUCUGAGAGGACGACCAGCCACACUGGAACUGAGACACGGUCCAGACUCCUACGGGAGGCAGCAGUGGGGAAUUUUGGACAAUGGGGGCAACCCUGAUCCAGCAAUGCCGCGUGAGUGAAGAAGGCCUUCGGGUUGUAAAGCUCUUUUGUCAGGGAAGAAAAGGUCGUGGCUAA